AGGGUGUAAACGCUGCGGGCUUGGUGUUGGGGGUCCUUAGUGGGCGCCCAGUGCCGGAGAGAAGUUGUUAAGCCUGCUGCUUGGGGAGUAUGUCCGCAAGGAUGAAACUUAAAGGAAUUGGCGGGGGAGCACCGCAACGGGAGGAGCGUGCGGUUCAAUUGGACUCAACGCCGGAAAACUCAUCGGGAGAGACAGCAGUAUGAUUGCCAGGUUGAUGACCUUGCUUGACAAGCUGAGAGGAGGUGCAUGGCGUAGUCGUGU
This 261-nucleotide ribosomal RNA is filed under the name uncultured archaeon. RNAcentral describes it as "partial 16S ribosomal RNA". It matches the Rfam family "Archaeal small subunit ribosomal RNA", at positions 748 to 1009 of the family's 1478-position model. The record is from RNAcentral.